This 499-nucleotide ribosomal RNA is filed under the name uncultured bacterium. RNAcentral describes it as "partial 16S ribosomal RNA". It matches the Rfam family "Bacterial small subunit ribosomal RNA", at positions 28 to 507 of the family's 1533-position model. The record is from RNAcentral.
GACGAACGCUGGCGGCGUGCCUAAUACAUGCAAGUCGAGCGGACUUUCAAGAAGCUUGCUUUUUGAAAGUUAGCGGCGGACGGGUGAGUAACACGUGGGCAACCUGCCUGCAAGACGGGGAUAACUCCGGGAAACCGGGGCUAAUACCGGAUAAUAUCUUCCUUCGCAUGAAGGAAGGUUGAAAGGCGGCGCAAGCUGCCGCUUGCAGAUGGGCCCGCGGCGCAUUAGCUAGUUGGUGAGGUAACGGCUCACCAAGGCGACGAUGCGUAGCCGACCUGAGGGGGUGAUCGGCCACACUGGGACUGAGACACGGCCCAGACUCCUACGGGAGGCAGCAGUAGGGAAUCUUCCGCAAUGGACGAAAGUCUGACGGAGCAACGCCGCGUGAGCGAAGAAGGUCUUCGGAUCGUAAAGCUCUGUUGUCAGGGAAGAACAAGUACCGUUCGAACAGGGCGGUACCUUGACGGUACCUGACCAGAAAGCCACGGCUAACUACGUG